AAAGAUCAUUGUAGCAGCAGAAUUCUGAUAAGAUGGAGGAAAGAAAAGCCAGAGUGAAGCAGACCAUUAGCAGAUAAUUGUCAUAAUCUUGAUACUAAAUGGAGACCAGAAUUAAGGUAGUUACUGUGGAGAUUUAAAGAAAGGGUGAUUAUUCAGAAGAGAGAAUUCACAGGCUGGGUGACCCAUUGGAGGAAGGAGAUGAGGAAGAUGGAGUCAUCAAGAAUGACCCUAAGUUCUCACUAGCUGAGGUUGGGUCUCCCAGGAAGCAGACACAGCGGCAGAGAUUUUUGUGCAGGGAGUUUAUGGAGGAGAACUUAGGAAUAACACCUGUAAGAGGGUGAGGGAAGAAGUGGAAUUGGGCAAAGGGAGAUGUGGAAGUGUGAUGUAGUGGCACUGGAGGCUACAUGGAGCUCUGGAGUUGCAAUGGCCCAUCACAGUGGCCCCAAGUAGAGACAAUGAGGGCUUUCAAAGAAUUGAAUGAAGCCCAUCCACACUGGGAAGGCAAUCUGCUUUGUUCAGUCUACUGAUUCAACUGUCAAUCUCAUCCAGAAACACCUUCCCAGAUGCACCAAGAAUGUUUAAGCAAAUAUCUGGGCACCUCGUGGUCCAGUCAAUUUGACAUAUAAAAUUAACCAUCCGAUGGUUCAACAUACAUGUACCUGUGAUGUUUAACCUACAAAUAAAGAUUGCUAAGAGGUCAAUAUUUCUGAGAAGGAAAAUUGUUCUACAUGUAUAGUCUUAUGGCUUUACGUUACAGUUUGGAAACCUGUUUUCCAAACCUGGCUGCCUGUAAAAUAAGUUCUCAGGAGAAGUGAAUGGAAAAACAGACAGUGAAG
This 836-nucleotide long non-coding RNA is filed under the name Homo sapiens (human). RNAcentral describes it as "HSALNT0345356". Lineage: Eukaryota; Metazoa; Chordata; Mammalia; Primates; Hominidae. The record is from RNAcentral.